Anthonomus grandis grandis is the source of this 1298-nucleotide long non-coding RNA. RefSeq lists it as uncharacterized. Lineage: Eukaryota; Metazoa; Arthropoda; Insecta; Coleoptera; Curculionidae. The record is from RefSeq and is a predicted model, not a curated record. The transcript is spliced from 7 exons.
CCAUUCAAAAUUUUACUAUAAAUUCUUUUUUGUUUUCUCCAGAUUUAAAUUCCAGAGUUCAGCCCUUAAGGCCAUGUAAACCAGCAAAGAGUCACCUUCUUCCCCCUUGUUUUUUGGCUUUAUACUGAAGUACUUCUCUUUUUCAGGGGCUUCCAGAGCUUCACGGUACCCUACCUGGACCGAGUUCACCUUCAAUCCCUAAGGAGGUCACAUCUCUGUCUCAAAUUGGGCCCCUUUUAUAUGAAAUCAUUGAGUUGACGUGGUACAAAUCCAGAGUUGACCCCCAAGGACCCUAAAAAAUAGAGGCCAUCCAGCCUGGAAGAGGACCCACAGGAGCUCCAGACUUGUGACGUUCACUAUUUGUUUUUGGGACUCUAAUACUGUAGUAGUUCUCUUUUCAGAUGGACCUGGCUUCAGCCCCUGCCACAGGAGUUCACCUUAGGUCGAUAAGGUGACUGAGGCCCCACUGAUCAAAGGACUUCGGCGACAGGAACCAAAGGAGCACCGCCACAAUUUUUGAGGUAUCCGGAGGUACCCUUCUAUGGUCACGAAGACUCCCUAAAGGGAUUUGUGGAUUAGUGAGUGAAGUGUAGUGAGUGUACUAAAAAUAACAUGUAAUGAACAGUAUAGUAGUGUAGUGUAGUGCCAAAGAGGGUGUAGCAGAUCUGGUUGGCGUUAUAGUCUCUUCCCUGGGGGCUUGUCUCUACGGGGGCAAAGUCCUCAGGACGUGGACAGAAGAGGACCUGUGAAGUAGACGAUAAGGCGGCGGAAUAUACCUUGAAAAGGUAUCUACUAGAGUUCAUACAGGUGAGCGAAUUCAUUAUUAUGCAUGACUUAAGUUUGAAAAUCAGAAAAUCUUAAUUAAUAAAAAACUAAAAUCGAUGGCGGACCGUUUUGGUUCGUCACUGGAUUUAGAUUUUUAAUGAAUUAAUGCCAAUGACAUAUCUUUUUUUUUUUAACGGAUUUUCAAACUUAAACAGUAGAGUCCUUAGGACUUAGAUAAAAGUAGAAAUACACACGUUUGCCCACCUUGUUUUUAACCCUGAUGAGCAGCCUCCCUGGGACACCCUGUAAAAGCCCACCCCGUCAUUUUCUCUUUCAGCUUUCCCUUAACACACACGUAGACGGGGUGAAACAUGAGAAAAAUCCGGGUUGUUUUCUCGUGGUUUGCCCUGUAAAUUAUUUUUUGACAUUUCCAUGCUUGGGGGUGCCAAAACCUCCCCUAAGUCAUGUCCGGAGGUGCCAAAAUCUCCUCUGGAGCGUCACCAAAAAGAUCAAUCAGUCAAUUAUUUUUUUUA